RNAcentral lists this ribosomal RNA (250 nucleotides) under uncultured bacterium. Its description in RNAcentral is "partial 16S ribosomal RNA". It matches the Rfam family "Bacterial small subunit ribosomal RNA", at positions 524 to 773 of the family's 1533-position model. The record is from RNAcentral.
GACAGGGGUCUCGAGCGUUAAUCGGAAUCACUGGGCUUAAAGGGUGCGUAGGCGGACCCGAACGCGUCCCGUGAAAUCCCCCGGCUCAACCGGGGAACUGCGGGGCGAACGGUGGGUCUCGAGGCAGGUAGGGGUCGCCGGAACCGUAGGUGGAGCGGUGAAAUGCGUAGAUAUCUACGGGAACGCCGAUGGUGAAGACGGGCGACUGGGCCUGUCCUGACGCUGAGGCACGAAAGCGUGGGGAGCAAAC